RNAcentral lists this ribosomal RNA (1000 nucleotides) under uncultured Lactobacillus sp. RNAcentral describes it as "bacterial SSU rRNA". It matches the Rfam family "Bacterial small subunit ribosomal RNA", at positions 85 to 1070 of the family's 1533-position model. Lineage: Bacteria; Bacillati; Bacillota; Bacilli; Lactobacillales; Lactobacillaceae. The record is from RNAcentral.
UUGGACGCUAGCGGCGGAUGGGUGAGUAACACGUGGGCAAUCUGCCCUAAAGACUGGGAUACCACUUGGAAACAGGUGCUAAUACCGGAUAACAACAUGAAUCGCAUGAUUCAAGUUUAAAAGGCGGCGCAAGCUGUCACUUUAGGAUGAGCCCGCGGCGCAUUAGCUUGUUGGUAGGGUAACGGCCUACCAAGGCUGUGAUGCGUAGCCGAGUUGAGAGACUGAUCGGCCACAAUGGAACUGAGACACGGUCCAUACUCCUACGGGAGGCAGCAGUAGGGAAUCUUCCACAAUGGGCGCAAGCCUGAUGGAGCAACACCGCGUGAGUGAAGAAGGGUUUCGGCUCGUAAAGCUCUGUUGUUAGAGAAGAACGUGCGUGAGAGCAACUGUUCACGCAGUGACGGUAUCUAACCAGAAAGUCACGGCUAACUACGUGCCAGCAGCCGCGGUAAUACGUAGGUGGCAAGCGUUAUCCGGAUUUAUUGGGCGUAAAGCGAGCGCAGGCGGUUUGAUAAGUCUGAUGUGAAAGCCUUUGGCUUAACCAAAGAAGUGCAUCGGAAACUGUCAGACUUGAGUGCAGAAGAGGACAGUGGAACUCCAUGUGUAGCGGUGGAAUGCGUAGAUAUAUGGAAGAACACCAGUGGCGAAGGCGGCUGUCUGGUCUGCAACUGACGCUGAGGCUCGAAAGCAUGGGUAGCGAACAGGAUUAGAUACCCUGGUAGUCCAUGCCGUAAACGAUGAGUGCUAGGUGUUGGAGGGUUUCCGCCCUUCAGUGCCGCAGCUAACGCAUUAAGCACUCCGCCUGGGGAGUACGACCGCAAGGUUGAAACUCAAAGGAAUUGACGGGGGCCCGCACAAGUGGUGGAGCAUGUGGUUUAAUUCGAAGCUACGCGAAGAACCUUACCAGGUCUUGACAUCUUGCGCCAACCCUAGAGAUAGGGCGUUUCCUUCGGGAACGCAAUGACAGGUGGUGCAUGGUCGUCGUCAGCUCGUGUCGUGA